GGCGGUUGCCGUUGGGGGUGACCCGUUGGGGUCUGGUGGAGGUGCCGGUCCUUUGGGCCGGUGACUCUGGACGCGAGCCUAGCAGGGGUUAACUGGAGGAAGUCUCCGCCGGGUGACUGGUGGCCCGCAGCUAGGAGACGUGGCGCUUUGAAUUUUUCAGUGUUCCUCCAAGCUCAUGUACCAGUUGCACGGCUUCAGUGGAGGGCAGUGUAGGGUCCUAGUGGACAGCCUAGCCUGGGUCUGGAGUUGGACAGAGCAAGUCUGAAUCCUGUCCUCAUCACUUUGUAGCUGUGUGUCGGGCAGUAAGGCAGGGCAACUGAAGGAGCGAAGACUGGUGAUGACAGCAAGGGAAGGAGGAACUGAUUUCAGAGAGAUGCUUGGAGAUAAAGGAACCAAUAACCAGACCUUGAAUAUGCAUAGCUCUUUACCCUUUUCAAAGUGUGUUCCCAUAAUUAACUUGUUCAAUCCUCUUGACAACUCUGUGAAGUACAUGGGGUACAUGCUAUGCCCAAUUAAAGAAAGAUGAAUUGUCACAGACACAUCAGGUCAUUUGCUCUCAGUCCAACAGUACCUGGUCAGCAGGGUCAUGAUCAAACCCACACCUCCUGAAUGCAGGUGUUUUUCCAGGACACCAUCUGUGUCUCUUACUUAGCUCCUCUACCUGGUAGCUGUUCUCUACCUGCUUCUUAACUAGUGAGGGGAAGUUCUAGAGAACCUCCUGGUGUAGAAUGCAAGAGCCGGGAGUGUCUUUUUGCCUCUCCUA
Molecule: long non-coding RNA, 763 nt
Filed under: Equus asinus (donkey)
Lineage: Eukaryota; Metazoa; Chordata; Mammalia; Perissodactyla; Equidae
Description: lncRNA (ENSEASG00005027906.1)
Source: RNAcentral